CUUUUUGGUUGCUCCACCUAACUUGUGCUUAUAUUUACUCUUUUACCUUUUAUUAACCCCUAAUUGUUUCCACUUUUCCACUGCACUGAUUACACUGUACAAAAUGAAUCCUGGUGCCAAGGAAAUUACACACAAAAAAUCAAGUAUGGCUUAAUUUCUUGAAGCAGUCGCCUUAAAAAAAUAACUAUUAUGUUUUCCCCCAAAUAAAUCAACUACAUUUGCGAGAAAUAUAUUCAGAGAAAAUGUUCCCUAAAAGAAUUGUGGGAAAUUGCACAAUUUCUCGCUGAUAAAUGUGCAGCCUUUUCCUCAAAUAUUUUGAACAUCUGAAAAACGUCCUUCAGUUGAGAUUUUGAAAAGAAUGCCUCGAAGACGGACGCCAUUGAAGUUCAGCAUGGAAUAGUAAAAGGGUUGGCAAAAUGCUCAUCAAGGUCCAGUACCGUGGACUAAAAAAGUACCUCAAACUGCAGCCUGGUUUUUCUUAUGAAAGUUUCAUUGAAGAAGAAUUUGUGCCAGCAGGUUCUUCUACUCUAAAUUCUUCACUUUUCUGAAGUGAUAUGGAGAGGUCCUCUUCAAACAAGGGGCAUCAAUCUCCUGGUGCAGGAGAGAACACCUCUGCCAUAGGGGAUGCAGCAGAAAAGGCCAAAUGGAUGGUCCAGGAGGUUCUGGAGAAGAGUUCAGGAGGAGAGGAAACAAUGGAGGAGUAUAAGAGAUUGAGCACCUUGACACACUGCACAAGACGUUUUGUAAUGUGAAAAAACAAAGUAGAAGCAUUAUUGUGCACAUAUAGCCGCUCACACAACUUGCCUGCAGCGUGACAAGAAAAACCUAAAUUUGGUAGUAGAAUUGUUGUGUAAAAACAAUUUUGAACUGAUGUUUGUCCUUCUUUACACUUCUCAUCUUCUUAAAGGAACUCUGGAUCUCAUUCAUAGUCAGCAUUGGGUCCUUGGUUACCUGUCUGACCAAGGCCCCUUUGUCCCAGGAUUACUCAGUUUGGCUUGCAUUUUUGCGGAGAGUUGGAGGAUUUUGUGUAGAUGUUGAUGAAGAUGAUAUGUUUGUUAUAUCUCUGUCAGUCGUCUGAAUAUUUUUAAAUGUUUUUUUUAAAUGCCCAAGCUAUUGUUAUUUUUUUUUUCUCAACGUCAGGUUUAAUUUACACUGAAUAAAUGCUGUUAAAUGAAAUACUGACUCUCUAAUUGUGUAUAUACACCACAUCCUUUAAAAUGUAU
This is a long non-coding RNA of Alosa alosa (allis shad), 1223 nucleotides long. RefSeq lists it as uncharacterized. The record is from RefSeq and is a predicted model, not a curated record. Lineage: Eukaryota; Metazoa; Chordata; Actinopteri; Clupeiformes; Clupeidae. The transcript has 4 exons.